GGUCGGCUGGAUCUCUCGGUUAGAUCGUCGUGCUGACAACACGAGGGCCAAGAGUUCAAUCCUCAUGCUGACCA
This 74-nucleotide transfer RNA is filed under the name Rhinocladiella mackenziei CBS 650.93. RNAcentral's name for it is "tRNA-Val (GAC) (tRNA-Val-GAC-1-1)". Lineage: Eukaryota; Fungi; Ascomycota; Eurotiomycetes; Chaetothyriales; Herpotrichiellaceae. The record is from RNAcentral.